RNAcentral lists this transfer RNA (72 nucleotides) under Bos taurus (domestic cattle). It matches the Rfam family "tRNA". Rfam says of the family: Transfer RNA (tRNA) molecules are approximately 80 nucleotides in length. The record is from Rfam by way of RNAcentral. Lineage: Eukaryota; Metazoa; Chordata; Mammalia; Artiodactyla; Bovidae.
UCCCUGGUGGCUCAGAUGGCAAAGAAUCUGCCUGCCAUGCAGAAGACCUGGAUUCUAUUUCUGGCUCAGGAA